UCCAGCCGGUAAUGUCACACCGGCUAUUUAUAAAACACUGUACAACAAACCAACACGGACUGACGGACACAUACAGGCGUGCAGCAUCAAGAUGCCGCUGGAUAUUAUUCAUCUCGGUGAUACGGGAAUCUGCAAAGCUAAUGUGCACGUUUGUGGUUGGACUCAAAAUUCCAUUCAAAAGAGCGGCUAUUUAAUGUGGACUCGGCUACUGGCACACCGUUAUUCACCAUCAAAUAUCAUACUAGACACCAAGUUAAUGAGAGCAACAGCUGGGCUAAGGCGGACGCCAGCUGAGCUAACGGAUGGUAACCCCGACAACGAUAACUAUAACGACUCCGCCCGUCCAGGACAGUCAUCAGAUCCAGUUACCAUGGAGAGCAGUUCAUCUCCACCGGCAACACACACGGAUAGUGAAAACUCGGGGCAAAGCCUUUGGGGCGACCAGGAAGCGGAGGAGCACCAUUACACAGAGGUCCAUGGGCUGAAGCAGCCAAUCGGGGACGAGCAGGACGAAGAAGAGGCUGCAGGGAAAGAAAAUGUCGUCAGGGAUGCAGAUGAGUGUGAUUACCUUGUGUUUGCAAUCGGAGAGCGAAAUGGGAAUGAUAAAGGAGAUGAAAGUGGACAGGACACGGGUAGAGGAGGAGAUAAGGUAGAAGAUGGAGAAAGAGGGGAAACAGAAGGAAAGGAAGAAGGAAGUGGAGCUACAGUGAGGGAAGAUGGAGGAAGAGGAGGUGAAAAAGAAGAGGAUGAAUGCAUAGGAGAGACAGUGGGCGAGAUGAGUAAUGAUGCUCCGUCAAAGCUCCUCCUCAUCUCUUGCAGCCCGGAGCGUCUUUCAUCAUCAGAGCCCCUGAUGGUCCCCUCAUGUCCCUCAGAGCAGCCCAUGGAGGCCAUGUUGCAAGAGGCCUUAGGUCACAACAUUGGCGAAAGAGAUGACCUCAGUGACGUCCAGCACACAGGCUUCCCCCAAGCUGAGGUGGCUAGUGUGUACUCGGACAGCGACGCAGGGGACGGCCAGUGGGCUAGCUUUGCACGCUGUGAUGUCACCAACCAGGAAGAAGCAGGCGGAGGAAUUCACAAUACCACCUGUGAAGGAGAGAGCAAGGAAGAGGAGGGAGGAGGAGCCGAUAAGGGGAGAGCCGAAGAACAGUUUGAGGCAGAAGAAGCGAGUGAAACACAGGACCAAAGGGAGGAGGAGGAGGAGGAGGAGGAGGGGAGCAGACACGUGGAUGAUGAAGAGCAGAUGACGUCCAGGAGAGAUCUAUUUCCACGCACACCUUCUGUCAGCUCCACGGGCAGCUCCACAGAGCCUGACAGAAAGGCUCCCGUGGAUCUCUGUGUCCAAGAAGAGGCCCACAGUGGAAACGUCUCCACUGAGCAUGUGGACUUUCUGUUGGCCCGACAGCAGUGGAGGAAGAUGGAGGAGGAGGUCAAAGGUCAGCCAAUCCCCAAACCAGGCCUCAGAGCUCAGGGGAGCUUCCAGGGCACCCACAGCUCCCUGUACCCGCCCACUCGCAGCCCCCGACUCAAACACAGGGAGAUCCAUCCUGCAGCGGCCAUGGAGCCCACGCUGUCCUCCACCCUGUCCUCCACCCUGUCCCCCGGCUCGGAGGACUCGGGCCUGGAGGAGCCGGAGAGUGCAGUGGAGAGAGAGAUCCGCCGGACUCUGGAGAGGGAGGAAUGCCACCGGAGAGAGAGGGGGGGGGUCACACAGGGCCUCACCGUACCCAGAGCCUCCACCGGGCAGAGCGGACGAUCUCCCCCCAGACCUCCAGCGUGCCGCACCCCUACACUGUCCAUCUCCCCUUCUCCUUCCUCUUCUCUUCCCCGAUCUGUCUACCAUGAGAUGACGGCCAAUAAUGUCAUUAUCCUGGAGCCCGGCUGCUCCGGCUCCACCUCCAGAAACCUCUUACUCUCCUCCGCCACCGAUUGGCCGCUUAGCCAGGAUGCUGUGCCCUCCGCCAACGUCAUCGUCGUUGAGACCUCUAACGUGAUCAUUCGCAGCGCAUCCGAAUUCUGUCUAAGCUCCGCCCCCGUGUCCGCGGAGACCCAGGAGAGCACCUUCUCGUCCAAUCCGUUCUUUAAGCUACGCUCCAUCAGCAGCCAAUCGCUGGUGGAGCGGGAGAUCCGCAUGGUGAGGCAGAGGGAGGAGGAAUGGAGGAGGCAGCGGGAGGAGAUGUGGAGGAGGAGGAGGGAGGAGGAGUGGAGGAGAGGGAGAGAGAGGUACGACACCGUGCUGGUGUCUCCUGGCCUGAGCGAUAACAUCAGCUACAACGUGCCAGAGGUCCUAGAUAGAUGUGUGUCCUCUCCUUCGUCCCCCUCCAGGACCCGCAAAAUGGAAAGAUCCAGCAUGUCUUGUGACCACAAGUUCCCCUCAUCCCUCUCUCUGACGCCGAAGCGACCGAACGCCAUGGCGCAGCGAUGGGAGGCCUCCCUAUUAGCCAAUCAGAAGAAGGAGUGACCAUUUCAAAGCCCACAAUGAGAUCCGACGCCUCCGUUCCUUCCUGCUUCUCUCCAGAAAAGUCACACGGUGUACUGUAAGGUCUUUGAAAAGGUGUGGCUUGAACCCGUGGGUCACAGAUGUGCUGUCUGCGGGACGUCCUGUGAGAAGAGGACUGGUCCUGUCCAACAGCUUUGUUUCAAAGAGUAAGGUUUGGCUUUCCUUAAUGCUUGAACGUCUGAAAAGGUCCUGCUUUCAAACUCAAACUGGUCUGCUGCAUGAUCUGUGAAACAUUGGGGCACAAUGCCACACGUAGGACAUUGUUUAUUAUAGAUAAUAACUUCAUUGACUCAUUCACAAUACUAACCGCAGUCAUAGUACCACCACUGUUUUUGACAUGUCAUGCAGACUUCUAUGUAAACUUUAGAAACACAAUAUUUAUUAUUACCAGUAACACAAUUUGAUUUCGAGCUAUUUAUAAAUGAUGGCAAACAGAUAUGCAUUGAGUUGUAUGACUAUGAAAAAGGUCUUGGCAGUUGCAUUUUAAUUUUAGAUAAAGUAUGAAUUUAGUCCCUAUAUUUUUGAUGUGAUGAACAUAUACAGCGUAUAUUUUACCGUAUUGUAGCUGCGUAGGGGUUUGAGAAGUGACAUUCAAAAAUGAUUUAGCAUGUUCUUUACAAAUGACAAUUCAUAGCAUUUAAGUGCCAACUCAGACUGAAAAAAUCACUGCCUUAAGCCGCUGAGAACAGCACACACACACACACACACACACACACACACACAGAAAGACAAAAAAUGAAUCCAUCAUCCAUUUCGCACAUCAUCUCUUUUCCACAAAGGCAAAACACGUAUUCAAGUAUAAAAAAACUGUCCUAUUUUAUGGAAAAUCAUUUUUUAUGGAAAUGUAAGAAUGGAAACUGGCACAUUCUUUCCCCUUGUUAUGACCCGCCCUACUCCGCCUCUGAUUGGCUGCUCAUCGUGGCCUUUGGUUUGGUUGUGAGAUGAUGAAAAACGGUAGAGCCACAGGGACGGAGCCGGUGGCUCAAUUAGCUUACAGCUAACGGAGGUAUAGUUACUUUGUUACUUUAGCGGUAUUUCAAAAUUAUAUAAUUAACUCGAGUAUUCACAUGGCUUUAAAAAAAGCUGUCAAUUCCACAUUUGUAGCCCAAAGGUUUUAUGCGUGGAGCACACUGUUGUUAUUGCUAUAUAACUGUCCGUGGCUGUGAUGUUCAAGCAAUAUAACUGAAGCACUUCUAAAACAGAGAUUCUAAUCCAGUCUAGUGAAGACUUUUACAUAUUUUAUGUCAUGUUUUGAUUCCUAAAAAGAGAAUUGUUUUAUUGAAUUUGUGCUGCAUAUAUUUAUUGAAUCGGGACAAGCUUAUGAAUCCUUAAAGCUUUUAUUUCUAAAAGGUUCAUAAUAUAUUGUGUCAGAAUGGCUGCAUGAAUUGAAGGUCUGCGAUGUUUUUUAGAUGGAUCUUUUCUGUGGAGUGUGUGUGCGUGAUAAUAAUAAUAAUCCAUCCUCAAUACAUCGUACAUAAAUAGAAAUCCUUCCUCCUUAUUUUGUAGCUCCAGAAGGAGCUCACUGGGUUCCUGAUGAACUCAACUGUCUAUUACAGGUGCAUUCAAGUCAACUCAGAAAUAAGAGACUUCACCUGCCAGGUUGCGAAUAAUACCAGGCGAGUAGAAUGCUAGUGGGUUUUUAUGAAUAUAUUCUGAUUGUGCUCUGAGCAUCGAUGUGAUGUAACACUGUGUUAAGGAAUAAACUCUCCAUCCGCUAAUAAAGUGCAUUUCAGCUGUGAGUUCCUGUGCAGCCUGAAGAUGUGUCCAAACAUCUGACGGGGCUACGAUCUAUACUUUCUGCAAUCAAUUUGCAGAGGUUUGGAUGUUCUUGAAAUGUGCUGUAUUGCAUGUGAAAGAAGUCGGUUACAGUGCGUCCACUCUUCACACUGGCUGUUUCUGCCCCAUCUCACCACACCACACCCAGUGGCAAUGUGAGGAAACGGAAAAACUAUAUACUAUAAUAUUGUGUUGGCAGCAGAAGGACAUGAGCAUCAGUAAAUAUUGGCUUUGUGUGUUUUCUUGCACACUCGAGUCACGUCAGAUGGGGUUGGUACGUUGUUACAUUGUUACAUCGUUUCGCUAUUAUUUUCACACAAUCCUUGAACUUGUUAUUCAAGGCCCAUAUUUAACAUCAUUUUGACGUACCAUGCCAGCGUUGUUUGCAUGUCAUGGUGUUGCUGCGUUAGCUUUGCUGUAUGAAGGCACAGUAGAUAUAUAUAUAUAUAUAUAUAUAUAUAUAUAUAUAUA
Long non-coding RNA from Gasterosteus aculeatus aculeatus (three-spined stickleback), 4744 nucleotides. NCBI's taxonomy places the organism in Eukaryota, Metazoa, Chordata, Actinopteri, Perciformes, Gasterosteidae. The record is from Ensembl.